GGAGGAAAAGAAACUAACAAGGAUUCCCCUAGUAACGGCGAGUGAAGCGGGAUGAGCUCAAAUUUAAAAUCUGGCGGCCUCAGGUCGUCCGAGUUGUAGUCUAGAGAAUCGUUUUCCGCGUUGGCCUGUGUACAAGUCCCUUGGAACAGGGCGUCAUAGAGGGUGAGAAUCCCGUCCUUGACACAGACUACCAAUGCUUUGUGAUGCGAUCUCGAAGAGUCGAGUUGUUUGGGAAUGCAGCUCAAAAUGGGUGGUAAAUUCCAUCUAAAGCUAAAUAUUGGCGAGAGACCGAUAGCGAACAAGUACCGUGAGGGAAAGAUGAAAAGCACUUUGGAAAGAGAGUUAAACAGUACGUGAAAUUGUUAAAAGGGAAACGAUUGAAGUCAGUCAUGCUUUCCGAGACUCAGCCGAUUCUGUCGGUGUACUUCUCGGUUGGCAGGCCAGCAUCAGUUUCGAUCUGUGGAAAAGGUUGGAGGGAACGUGGCAUCCUCGGAUGUGUUAUAGCCCUUCUUCGAAUACAUAGAGCGGGACUGAGGAACGCAGCGCGCCUUUUAUUAGGUUGGCCCUCGGGUACAUACGCGCUUAGGAUGCUGGCAUAAUGGCUUUAAACGACCCGUCUU
RNAcentral lists this ribosomal RNA (620 nucleotides) under Mrakia frigida. RNAcentral's name for it is "partial large subunit ribosomal RNA". It matches the Rfam family "Eukaryotic large subunit ribosomal RNA", at positions 52 to 655 of the family's 3401-position model. Lineage: Eukaryota; Fungi; Basidiomycota; Tremellomycetes; Cystofilobasidiales; Mrakiaceae. The record is from RNAcentral.